Molecule: ribosomal RNA, 460 nt
Filed under: uncultured bacterium
Lineage: Bacteria
Description: partial 16S ribosomal RNA
Rfam family: Bacterial small subunit ribosomal RNA
Source: RNAcentral
CCUACGGGGGGCAGCAGUGAGGAAUAUUGGUCAAUGGACGCAAGUCUGAACCAGCCAUGCCGCGUGAAGGAUGACGGCUCUAUGAGUUGUAAACUGCUUUUGUACGGGGGUAAACCCCGAUACGUGUAUCGGGUUGAAAGUAUCGUACGAAUAAGGAUCGGCUAACUCCGUGCCAGCAGCCGCGGUAAUACGGAGGAUCCGAGCGUUAUCCGGAUUUAUUGGGGUUAAAGGGUGCGUAGGCGGUUUGAUAAGUUAGAGGUGAAAUGUCGGGGCUCAACCCCGAAACUGCCUCUAAUACUGGUAGACUAGAGAAUAGUUGCGGUAGGCGGAAUGCAUGGUGUAGCGGUGAAAUGCUUAGAGAUCAUACAGAACACCGAUUGCGAAGGCAGCUUACCAAACUAUAUCUGACGUUGAGGCACGAAAGCGUGGGUAGCAAACAGGAUUAGAUACCCUGGUAGUC